CCCUUAGAUGUCCUGGGCCGCACGCGCGCAACACUGAGUGUCUGAGAUACGAGUCUGCCUGGUCCGGCAAGGUCUAGGUAAUCGCUAAAAGACACAUCAUGCUUGGGAUAGAUUAUUGCAAAUAUUAAUCUUGAACGAGGAAUUCCUAGUAAGCGCAAGUCAACAGCUUGCGUUGAUUACGUCCCUGCCCUUUGUACACACCGCCCGUCGCUACUACUGAUUGGAUGUUUAAGCGAGGUUCUCGAACUGCUAGCGACUUAGCUUCGGUGAGGUCGCAGUGUGGGAAGUGAACCUAGCUUUGGUGUCUAGAGGAAGUAAAAGUCGUAACA
Molecule: ribosomal RNA, 329 nt
Filed under: uncultured eukaryote
Lineage: Eukaryota
Description: partial 18S ribosomal RNA
Rfam family: Eukaryotic small subunit ribosomal RNA
Source: RNAcentral